Long non-coding RNA from Oryzias sinensis (Chinese medaka), 2850 nucleotides. The record is from Ensembl. Lineage: Eukaryota; Metazoa; Chordata; Actinopteri; Beloniformes; Adrianichthyidae.
GAAAAUCUGCCAAUGGGGAAAGAAUUUUUGAUUUUUUUUCCAAAGGGCCCGUUUUUGCAGAGCUGACCAGCAUGUGUGAUGGAAGCAGGUGCUGGUUGGUGCUGCGCACGAAGGAACCCUGGAUUCCUCGCAGGAUUAACACCCAGUUAUGAGGACAAAGCGGAUCUGCAGGGAACACGGCCACCGCAACUGGGACAGCAGUACAAACAUUUACCAGGACAGACCCCAAUGCUGCAAACAGACACAGCCCAGACUUCUGUUGAGGAGAAAUUCAGAUGAGUAUGUAUUCUGUCUGCGCCCAAAGCACAGGGAGAUGAAACUAAUUAACACAAACACCUUUGGGACUGUGCGUUUUUCUAAAAUGACUAUGAUAUCUUCUUAAGUAGACAAGAAAAUCUAAUUAAAACAUGAACAAAAUGGUCAAAUUAUUAAAAAGGCUUCAGAUUGACUGCCAUCCUACCCCUAGACCUAUCAUCUUGUCUGUGUAAGGGCAUCCUGAACCCUGUUUCUAUGGAAACCGCCUCUAAAGGAGGCGGGAAGAAAGGGACAGGAAGAGGUGCUGAAAUGGCAGAAUAGUCUUUGUGCUCGCAGCCACUUAGAGAGCCAAACGGCCCAGAGAGAGAACAGAGGGCGAAGCAGACACUCACAAAGACCUUCAACCUGAAACAGAAGAUGAAGAGGGGAAAGAAAGAAGCGUCGCCAGGGGCCACAGUUCCACUCUGACAGUCAAUUGGCUCACAUAGGGGAUCAGAAUUUUCUGAAUAAAUAUGUGUUGGAUCACUUUUUAUUCACAUUAAACACAAAAUUGUUGAAAAAUUAAACCCAAACUAAAAAAAAAACCCUAGAGGGCAUGAAACUGAAAGUCCUGUUCAGACAACAAACCCGCCGACGUUCACACCGUCUCACAAACAAGCCAUGAAAUCUCACUCUAUUUUGUGUCAGAAAAUUGGAUUGCUGCUCCAGCUAACUUGAUUACAAACAGCCUCUGCCUCACUCUGGGGCUGUGCCACUUAAUAAAGCUUAAGUGCAAAGGCACAUCAGUGUGUUCACACUCACACACACACAGAGUCACAUGCUAAACGCACACUAUGCAGAUCUGCACAUCAAAAUGUUUCAUGCAGGUUCCAUCCAGAUAGAAAAAUACGUCAACCAAAUGCUGUAGAUGUGGGAUCUUUGGAACAUUUACUAUAUUUGCACAAUUUGCUUAGCAAGACAAAGAAUAUGUGCAUAAUACACAGUUCAAAGUGUGCCUUAAGAAUAAUUAAAAAAUGCUUCAGAUGCCUAACAGAAGUUUUUGUUACAUUUUUUGUGAUUGUCACUAUUUAAAACCUGUUAUCAAACGCAUCUGAAAUUUGUUUACAUGUUGAUUACUGUCACCAAACCAUGAAUUGGCACCCAAGAUGUCAGUCUCAUUACUUGAUUUUUUUUAAUGAUGACUAAUGUUAAAAACAACAACUUUUAUGUCAUAUGAAAGAAUAUUUUUUAAUCAAAAUGCUAAAAUAAAAAUGAUCAUAUUUAUCCAUCAGUGUUUUACACUUCUUUAGGGUUUGAUCAGACCACAUUUCAUUUAAUUUGGAAUUACAUGAAAUAUUUUUUGUCUUUAACAAGGACAAAAAAGUUUACUUAUCUGAAAAUGAAAACGUUUCAAUAAAUUCUAUCUAAGAAAGAAGUUGAUCAUAAGAAAAAAAAAAAACACUUAAUAACAAACUUUGUUUUUAUUUCAGGCAUUGAACUCCCAUAAAGGAAAUGAGGACAGAAUGAAGCUCUUUGGCUCCAUCUAGUGUCGAGCUGUGGAACAUGAAGUACGGUUUGUCAGAAGGUCAUUCUUGAAGUAAAGCAGAGCGAAAACAAUUUCAUUUUCAGGCAUAAACCAAAAACAAAAGUUGGUUCAAUAAUCACAUUUAAGCUUUAAGAUGCUUAAAGUAUUUGUUUGAUUCUUUUAUUGUUCUCUUAUAAGAACUAGUAAAUUAUUUUUAGUGUGAUUAAAAAAAUAAAUAAAAAGCUUUUUAUAAUUUCCUAAGGCUUUUUGUGUCUAAAGUAUAAUUUUAAGAUUUCUGAUGAUAACAUGGUCAAAUAUUGGAUGCUGAUUAAACAACACACUAAACAGACAGAGCAGAGGCAACAAAUGAACUUAAUUAACCGCAAAUGGGUCACAUGACUACUUUAGAUCAAUAGAGUGGCUUUUUAGAUUGAGGAAUUUCUAAAAAUGAGUAGAUACAAAAAAGAGUAAUAUCAAAGUUAGAUGGCUUUUUCUCAGCUUAAGUCAGGAAUUUAAGAAAAAAUAUAAAUCUUGAAAUUAAAGAGGGGAUACACCAAAUAAAUGACAUUCAAGAAAAUUUGAGUUCUGUAAAUAUCCAAUUUGGACAAUAAAGUUUUUGUUCAACAGAGUAAAGUUUUAUAGUAAUAAAGACAUGAGGCACCUUUGACCAAAGUUUAAUGAUGAGGUGUGCUGAGGAUUUUUUAUUUUUUAUUAAAAAGAUAAGAAAAGAAAGGAAAUCCUCCUAACCGACGUACAAGAGUCUCGGUAAACACUGGCGGUCCUGCGGAUGUUUUACGCAUGAAUCAUUCAUCAUCUGAGGACCACAGCUUUGCCCACGGAGGACAAAAGACACAUUCCCGACACAUCCACGCCUCCACAUGCAAAGGUAACCCCAGGGGUCUACUGUGAGAAUCGGUUCGGGGUCUUUAAAGGACGUUUUUCCAGUCUCUGGAGAAAUUACGCGCGCGUUUUCAAUUCAACAGCGGGAGCUCUCCGUGGUAUUGAAUUGCGCCACGCAGGAGAAGUUUCUUCUUCGGUUCAUCUCGAGGAGAGAAAAAAAAGACAUUUGAGACUGUUUCCUUCUUGACUGC